AUACGGAGGGUGCAAGCGUUAUUCGGAUUUACUGGGCGUAAAGCGCGCGUAGGCGGUUUAGUUAGUCUGAUGUGAAAGCCCGGGGCUCAACCCCGGAAGUGCAUUGGAUACUGCUAGACUAGAGUAUGGGAGAGGAGAGUGGAAUUCCUGGUGUAGAGGUGAAAUUCGUAGAUAUCAGGAGGAACACCAGCGGCGAAGGCGGCUCUCUGGACCAUCACUGACGCUGAGGUGCGAAAGCGUGGGUAGCAAACAGGAUUAGAUACCCCAGUAGUCC
This 274-nucleotide ribosomal RNA is filed under the name uncultured bacterium. Its description in RNAcentral is "partial 16S ribosomal RNA". It matches the Rfam family "Bacterial small subunit ribosomal RNA", at positions 523 to 796 of the family's 1533-position model. The record is from RNAcentral.